CGAGUCUCUUUCCCGCUCUGGCCGCACGGCUCGCUCCACCGCCUCCUCCCCCUUCGGCGGGCACCGCUAGUACCGCGCAACCAAACCGCCCCCUGCACCGCCGCCUCCUCCUCCUGGCCGCUCCGCCCACAGUCAGCAAGCAACUACAAAGGCUAACUUUCGAAUAUGGGGUGCCACAAUUUAUAAGAACCCUGAACCCUUGAGUCUCCACUUGAAGAAGAGCCUCCCUGACCUACAUACAAAGUGAUACCAUGAGCACUUUCAGGAGAAAUCAGAGAAUGUCCGAGGAAUACCAAUAAUCCAGUUGGAUGGAAAAAAAAAAAAAUCAUCAGAGGAACAGCAACAAUCAAAGCUGGAAAGGGAAACCAGUUGGCCCACUAUGAGGGGGUGAGUCAGCGACAGUCAAGAGGCCAUUUUAUCAAGCUCACACUGGGAAAAUCAGUUUUUACCAGAGAGCCCAAAAACAGAUAGACACUGAGGACUCACCAGAUCAAAUCAAGACGGGUCAAGCCAAUUAAAAACAAAACGAAACAAAAACACUGCUUGAGCAUGAGCUGUGUUCCAGGCACAGCUGGAAAUUCCUGCCCCAGAGAGCUUGUUUGCCGGGAGUACACAGGACAGAAACCCAGAAAAUACGAGGAAGUAAUGGCUGGCAUACGAUGGGUGCCCAACUACUGGAAGACAGUGAUUUUCAGAAACCUGUUCAUCAGGGACACUUCAAGUAGAGGUCAAGCAGACUGGAGAUCAGAGGUGCAAACGUGCUCUGCAGAAAGGGGAAGUUGUAUGAAGCCCGCGAAGGCAGAGACCCGGCUAGAGACCCAGCCCGAAUGGAAGACAGCUGGAAACCAGAAUCCAAGCCCUUCCCAGCUACCUCUGUGGACUCGGCAGACGGGGACUUGGAUCUUUCCUGCCUAACGGAUACUUCCUGGGCUGCUGAGGGGUGCUGGCUGGGGGCCGAUGGCUUGUGGUUUCUCCUUGAGGUUUCCGUGGAGUCAAAACAACACAUGGACUUUGAUCUCUCUUCAGCAGUUGGCAGAAAGCUCAAUUCCAAGCAGAGGCCAAAUCAACUUUUGAGGACUAAUCCCUCAGCCUCCCCACUGUCAGGGACAGCCACUUCUGGAAGCUUCACAUCUAAUUCAGGCUGCAAAAAGCAGCCUUGAAUUCUUAUUUCUAUCACCCACUAAAUCCAUUCAAUUGCCUUCCCUUUUCUUAACUUUGAAAUAGCUUCAAUUACCCGGCAUACAAUAGUCACCUGGGUUUAAUUUUUUUUUUUUCUUUUUUGAGGGGAACUCAUUUUAGCUAAGCAAUUACAAACAAUCGCUUGAUUAUAUUUCUAAAUGCUUUUGACACAAGCAACUGCUUCUUUUCCAAAGCAUGCACUGAGCUAUCAGAACAUUGUAAUAUUUCCCUCCCCCAGCAGUUUUGCCUGGAUCUCACCCACUGAAGAAACCAACUGUAAAUAUUUGACAUUCCUUGUACUUCUGGUAGUCCGCACUGUUUAGCCUUCUGGGGCUCUCCAUUUCAGUUUUAAGCCUCCAGGGAAAAUGGAAAGAAAAGGCUGGGGUAUGUUUUAGGCCCUGAAACUUUGCUUCUUUAUAAAUAGUCACCCCUUGGGGCACCUGGGUGGCUCGGUCGGUUAAGCAUCAGGUCAUGAUCUCAUGGUUUGUGGGUUCGAGCCCCAUGUCAGGCUCUGUGCUGACGACUCAGAGCCUGGAGCCUGCUUCAGAUACUGUGUCUCCCUCUCUCUCUGCCCCUCCCCUGCUUGCACUCUGUCUCUCUCAAAAAUAAAUAAACAUUAAAAGAAAUUUUUUAAUAAAAAAUUUCAUAAAAAGUAAAAUAAUAGUCAUCCCUUGAGGGAUGCAUGUUAGGAUGUUGCCAUAGUUUAGGUUUCUAAUAAAGCUUUUUGUGUGUGUUUGGUAAAAUAGAUAUACGUAAAUUUUACCCUUUUAACCAUUUUUAAGCAUACAAUUCUGUGGCAUCACAUACAUUCACAAUGCAGUGCAAUCUUUGGCACUAUCCAUUUUCAGAUCUUUUUCAUCAUCUGAAACAGAAGCUCUGUACCCAUUAAAUAGUAGUAACUCCCCAUUAUCCUCUCCUCCAGUCUCUGGUAACCACUAGUCUAUUUUCUAACUCUGUGAAUUUGACUAUUCUAAGUACCUCAUUUAAGUAGAAUCAGAUAAUAUUUGUCCUUUGAUGUCUGACUUAAUUUCACUUAGUGUAACGUCUUGAAGGUUGAUCCAUAUGGUAGCAUAUAUUAGACUUUCAUCCCUUUUUGUAGAUCCCAUUGCGUGUAUAUAUGCCCCAUGUUGUUUAUCCACUCAUCUGUUGGUGGACACUUGGGUUAUUUCCAUUUUUUGCCUAGUGUCUAAUAAAGUUUAACAUAAUAAA
Long non-coding RNA from Acinonyx jubatus (cheetah), 2388 nucleotides. RefSeq lists it as uncharacterized. The record is from RefSeq and is a predicted model, not a curated record. NCBI's taxonomy places the organism in Eukaryota, Metazoa, Chordata, Mammalia, Carnivora, Felidae. The transcript is spliced from 7 exons.